AUGCUUCUAGUCCUUAUCUUAUUCCUGGGGAUACAUUUUUUCCCAGGAGAUGUCCAAGCACAGUCAGUUACCCAGCCUGAUGCCCAUGUUACUGUCUUUGAAGGAGACCCGGUGGCGCUCAGAUGCAACUAUUCCUACGGUGGAGCUCCUUACCUCUACUGGUACGUGCAGCAUCGUGGCCAAGGACUUCAGGUUCUCCUCAGGUACUUUUCAGGAGAUCCUGUGGUUCAUGGAGUGAAUGGCUUUGAGGCUGAGUUUCAGAAGAGUAAAUCUUCCUUCCACCUGAAGAAGACCUCUGUGCACCUGAGCGAUUUCGCUGUGUACUUCUGUGCUUUGAGUGCACAGUGUCUGAGGCUGCAGGGGGAACUGAACACAAACCUGUGA
Peromyscus eremicus (cactus mouse) is the source of this 384-nucleotide non-coding RNA. The record is from the annotation of a RefSeq genome assembly. Lineage: Eukaryota; Metazoa; Chordata; Mammalia; Rodentia; Cricetidae.